This 460-nucleotide ribosomal RNA is filed under the name uncultured bacterium. RNAcentral's name for it is "partial 16S ribosomal RNA". It matches the Rfam family "Bacterial small subunit ribosomal RNA", at positions 338 to 795 of the family's 1533-position model. The record is from RNAcentral.
CCUACGGGAGGCAGCAGUGAGGAAUAUUGGUCAAUGGACGAGAGUCUGAACCAGCCAAGUAGCGUGAAGGAUGACUGCCCUAUGGGUUGUAAACUUCUUUUAUAUGGGAAUAAAAUGUUCCACGUGUGGGAUUUUGUAUGUACCAUAUGAAUAAGGAUCGGCUAACUCCGUGCCAGCAGCCGCGGUAAUACGGAGGAUCCGAGCGUUAUCCGGCUUUAUUUGGUUUAAAGGGAGCGUAGGUGGAUUGUUAAGUCAGUUGUGAAAGUUUGCGGCUCAACCGUAAAAUUGCAGUUGAAACUGGCAGUCUUGAGUACAGUAGAGGUGGGCGGAAUUCGUGGUGUAGCGGUGAAAUGCUUAGAUAUCACGAAGAACUCCGAUUGCGAAGGCAGCUCACUGGACUGCAACUGACACUGAGGCUCGAAAGUGUGGGUAUCAAACAGGAUUAGAUACCCUAGUAGUC